UGCUGACUCAGUGUCUUAUCACCUGUCCUGUCCCCGGCCCUCCUCCUGGGAGAGGCCCCACAGGUGGGUGCUGUUUCUCAUCUGGCCUUUUUCUCCCCUCUGGGCGCUCAAGCCCCCUCUCCUCCAGCUGCUCCCAGCGGCCCUACUGCCUUUCAGUUUCCUGGACUCCAGCUCUUCCCAAAACCGUUGCGACGGCUUUGCCCGUCCCUGCGCCCAGGAAGUCGUGCGAUCGAGGAGUCCCCCACCCGGGUCAUUUCAUGAUUCGCAGCCUGGUGCCGGGAAAACACGCUGGUGUGUCAGGAACAGCCGCGGGUCUUGUCCUGCCCUGGUUGCCACUCUCUCUGGGACCCCAUGCCACUGCCCUCUUCUCUCUGGACCUCGGUCUCCUCCUCUGGCAAGGGACUCGCCUUGACGUUAUCGAAGGUCCUCUGGUUCGAGCGUGGGUGAGGUGUAUCUGGGCCAACACCCCCGAGCGAGCAGGGUUCAGGAGGGGACCCAGGAGGCCUGGCUGGGCCGUUCAAGCUGGGCAUGGGGUCCUAACCCCGGGGACGGACUGGCCAGGCAGGCCUUUCUCCAGCGGCUGCUCCUCUCCUUGGGAGCUAUUGCUGGAGGGGGAGGUGGCCUGGGCUUGGAGGCGAGGCUGCUGGGCCACGUGGGACUGGAGCCAGUGGGCUUCCAGGAAGGGAAACUAAAGAUACCCCCUUCCCGGCACGGCUGGAACCCUGAGAGGCCAGGGAUCCCGUUCCAGUCGUGCUGUCGCCGGGGGCAAGGGGUGGUGACCAGGAGGGCCCUCCAGCAGCUGUGUUGGGCCUGGCGCUGCUGGGGGCUGGAGCCCAGGACCGGGCAUCUAUUGGCCGAUCCCUGAGCCGGUGGGCGAGGUCAGGGCAGGGCCAGCGUGUUACUGGAAGCCCGGUGGCUCCGUCUGUCCCUCUGCCAAGCUGCCCACUGCAUUCUUCGGCCUCCUAUUUCCAGGCAGGCUCUGCAGAGGUCCCAGCCGUGGCCUGCCUUGAGCCUGGGUGCCGUCAUGCCCAUGUUUGGGGCCCUUGUUGGGGACAGCAGUUGAGAUGGGCGGCAGGGGGGUGGGGUGGGCAGGAUGCCGUGAAGGUAGCUGGGCUCUCGGGGAGCAAGGAUCACCUUUCCCUGUGCGGUUCUGAGAGGUCAGGUGACCUGGGUGAGGGAACCCGUGUGUGUGUGUGUGUGUGUGUGUGUGCGCGCGCACACAGACUGCAGAGACCAGGGGUCAUAGACUUGAGCUUGCCCAAGUAUCCCAGGAUAUGCAGGCCAGUGUGAAGGGCCUGGGGGCGCACAGAGGGGUGCACCGUGCCGCUGUCCCCCCGGAUGUCAACGUAGAGAUGGAAUUUUGGAUCUGCAACCCCUGGGUCCAGGGAGUGAAGUGGAAAAGCGGUCCCACCUGUCACUGCUGGUAAGCGAAGAGUGGGGAUAAGGCCCCUCACCGGGCCAUGGCGAGGACACAUAGGUGGCACCCGGGGGGGGGGGGGCAGCGAGCUUGGCGUAAUGGCAGGAGCAGCCCCCCCGGGCUUUGCAGGGUAACCCUCAGCUUUUUCUGACCUCUGCACCUCCCCCCAUCUGCCCUUCCAGAAUCCUCUCGUGGGGCACAUUCAGUCCACCUGAUCUGCCUGACCCAGGGCUUAUCUUGUGCUUUCUGUCGGAGUUCUAGGUCCACAGGCUUUCUUGCCUGCUCAAAGCUGGCCCUGCCAUUCCCACCAGACCACAAGGACCUUCUCCAGGACUCAGAGCCCAGGGCCUUUCAUCGGACAGAGGAGAUCUGAGCACCUGGCUGGCUUUAGGGGUGCCUCCUUCUCCCAUCGUGGGGGCCUCCCGACCGCAGCCAGGUUGGGCUAGCCCCAAAGGAGACAGCAGGAUGGUUCCAGGAAGCCUGUGCAGCCAGCGAUUCCUCUCCAAGCCCCCACCAGCCUCUGUCCUCACUGCCAUCCGUGUGUGGCGGCUGGUCUCCAAGAUGGCCCCAGCGAUCCUGCAUUGAACCAAGUCAGGGGCGAGUCGUCACUCAGCUGAAGUUACCAACGGGCCCCGGAAAGUGCACCCCCAACUCAGUGAGAAGAGGGUCUUGGCCUUUUGUCCCUGCUGGUGCCUCUUCCUUCUGACGCCUCAGACCCCAGCAGGACGCAGCACCUGUUUUCCACGCCGUGUGACCGAUUCCCGCACGUACAGUGGCUUAAACCACGCGCGCGUCUGUCACCGUGCAGGUUAUUUAUUUAUUUUGAGAGAGAGAGAGAGGAAGCAAGCAGGCCCUGCACCAUCAGCACUGAGCCCAAUGUGGGGUUCGAACCCACGAACUGGGAGAUCAUGACCUGAGCCCAAACCGAGCCGGCCGCUUAACCACCUGAGCUCCGUGCGCCCCGUUAACUGAACCCCCAAGGAAAAUGGCCCCGUGCCCUCAGCUAAUAACUGCUAGUCAGGACCGUGGAAAGCCAAGGUAAGCGGCCCAAGGCCACGGGACAGAGGUUGGCUCAUGCGAUGAGAACACGCAGGAGGAGAGCGAGAGGCCUCAGGCACAGUUGGAUCCAGAUUCACAGGCAGCGUCACCUGGAAACGUCUCUGCUUUCUGCUUCCCCUGCUGGCUUCACCCUCCGGCAGGCUCUCCCUAGCCUGCUUGGGUCUUGUCCCCGUGCCUGGAGCAUGUCCUGAUCGGAACGUCCUGGGUCACGUCCCCCACCCCUCACCCCCAGCAGGGUGGGGGAGAUCAGUCCCAUCGAUGAGCCACAAAGACCAAGAACGGAGAAGGGAUGAAAACCGGGGUGCUUUUACUGGAGGGAGGGACAGUGGGUGCUGGCUGGCAGGGCAAGGCAUGGCCAGCGUGGGGACAGAACGCCAGGAUCAGGCUGCCCGUCCUGGGGACCCUCUCGUGCCGCCCCCACGACAGGAAGCAGAGGUGAGAUUCCAGGUGUGGCCGGGAUGCGGCCCCGGGGCGCUGCCUCCCAGGCUGGCAGGAGGCUUCUGUUUCCUGGGUUACCGUUUGGGGAGCAUUUGGGUGUGUUCAGUGCUUGAAUCUCGAAACGAUGCCAGGAGGAAAGGCUGUAUCUCACCGUCCCCGUCAGACAGGGCGCAGGCUGGGGCUCUGGGCGUUCACCUGGGUGGUUCGCAGUCCUGCAGGCCUGGAUCCGAUCUGUGCUGCCUGACUCCCUCAGUCAGAGGAGACACCGAGGCCCAGGGAGGGGUCAGCCCCAGCUUCCUCGGCCCUGCCCCCCUGUCCUGGGCACCCCUGGACUCCUCUCAGCUCGCCUCUGUUUAGGUAACACUGUAUCUUUGAACAGGUAAUAUGGCCACAGGUUUCAAAAUUCAGAUGUGAGAAGUAGCCGCUGAGAAAUGUUACCCUUCUUAAAAGAAUUUUUUAACAUUUUUAUUUAUUUUUGAGAGACAGAGAGCACGAGCAGGGGAGGGGCAGGGAGAGGGAGACACAGAAUCCGAAG
This is a long non-coding RNA of Prionailurus viverrinus (fishing cat), 3449 nucleotides long. RefSeq lists it as uncharacterized. Lineage: Eukaryota; Metazoa; Chordata; Mammalia; Carnivora; Felidae. The record is from RefSeq and is a predicted model, not a curated record. The transcript has 3 exons.